This 569-nucleotide ribosomal RNA is filed under the name uncultured bacterium. Its description in RNAcentral is "partial 16S ribosomal RNA". It matches the Rfam family "Bacterial small subunit ribosomal RNA", at positions 355 to 940 of the family's 1533-position model. The record is from RNAcentral.
UGGGGAAUAUUGCACAAUGGGCGAAAGCCUGAUGCAGCAACGCCGUGUGAGUGAUGAAGGCCUUCGGGUUGUAAAGCUCUGUCUUUUGGGACGAUAAUGACGGUACCAAAGGAGGAAGCCACGGCUAACUACGUGCCAGCAGCCGCGGUAAUACGUAGGUGGCAAGCGUUGUCCGGAUUUACGGGCGUAAAGGAUGCGUAGGCGGAUUUUUAAGUGAGAUGUGAAAACCCUAAGCUUAAUCUUGGGGACUGCAUUUCAUACUGGAAAUCUAGAGUGCGGGAGAGGAGAAUGGAAUUCCUAGUGUAGCGGUGAGGUGCGUAGAGAUUAGGAAGAAACACCAGUGGCGAAGGCGAUUCUCUGGACCGUAACUGACGCUGAGGCAUGAAAGCGUGGGUAGCAAACAGGAUUAGAUACCCUGGUAGUCCACGCCGUAAACGAUGAGUACUAGGUGUAGGUAGGUAUCGACCCCCUUCUGUGCCGCAGUUAAACACAAUAAGUACUCCGCCUGGGAAGUACGAUCGCAAGAUUAAAACUUUAAAUGAAUUGACGGGGUCAUAGCUGUUUUCCCU